Non-coding RNA from Podarcis lilfordi (Lilford's wall lizard), 73 nucleotides. Lineage: Eukaryota; Metazoa; Chordata; Lepidosauria; Squamata; Lacertidae. The record is from the annotation of a GenBank genome assembly.
GCUGGGAUAGCUCAGUUGGCAGAGCACAAGAUUCUUAGUUUCAGGGUUGUGGGUUUGAGCCCCACGUUGGGUG